GAACUUUGUGCGUCCAAGCGAAGCCGUGUGCACUCGUGUGAAGAACUGCUUGCACAGCCUUGCCAGUGUCACAGUGAGGCGUUGUGAGAUGUGAUCAUACUAGUCUAAGGACACACCGAGAUAUACAUACCCUAACACACCCUCCUCUAUCUCUUUCUGCCUUGCCGACGUAUUCUUUCGUUUCGCUUGUUUUUGCAUGCAUGUCUUUUUCAACCCUCGCAUCUCUCAUACUGUAUUGAUUCAUUUCACGCCCGUCCUUCUCUCUGUGCCCUCGCCGACUUACGCCCCCACCCCCUGCCCCUCGGCUACGCUUGCUUGCCGUCAGCCUCGAUACAUCUCUUGCUGCUCCUAAAAGCUCGCUUUUCUCUUCCGUUCCCCUUUUGCACCUCCUCUCGCUACCAUCGCACUUCCCUCUAUCACUCUACCAUCAUCAUCAAGCCUCGCCGUCGCCACAAGCACAGAGCCAUAGCCCUUUGUCAGCCCUAUCCUCCCACCUCCUUCGUUAUUCAGUUGUUUGGAGAGGGACCCUCCACUCUCCCCAUUUCCCUCCCUCGGUGCGCGUGCGUGGUACGCCUGUGAGCUCUCUUCUUUUCGCUUUCUGCUCGACUCUUCUUUUUUGCCCCCCCCCCCCUUCGCCCUUCUCCGUGGAUAGGAAGCCACGCUCCUGUGUACAUAGCAUCUUGUUGUUGUUGCUGUUCUUGUUUUCGCUCUCCCCCGCCGUCUUCUUCGCCGAUUCUCUCUCUUCUCUUUCACUUGAACUUUCCCUUUUUCGCUGUUUCAGUUCACCUACUUUUCUCGCCUUCUUCUCUUGGUGCAUAUCUAACCGACCAAUGUCCCUCAAGGCCGAAGAUGUGAAGCAUAUCGUCGCCUGGUUCCUUGGCAUACCGCCAGUUAUCUUUUACGUAGCGCUGAUGGUCGUUUCCGGGCUUCACCAGCGGUGGAUAGCCUUCACCUUCUCCGCCGUAUCUGCGUUGGCGCUUUUUGUGUGGUUCGUACUGAACUGUGUCUCCAUCAUUUCCGCCAUUUUGUUUGCGCGGUCCAGCAUCAAUGCCGCGAAGCGUACGAUGGAGAACAACGACGGGGCGCAGCGGGGCCCUGACGCAGGGCGUGAGAAUUCUCAGACGCAUCGUUUCCCCAUCAAUGCGGAUGGGAGCCCCAACACACAGCAGUCGGAGGAUGAGGGCGUCUUGUCGAGCAUUCUCGAUUCGAGCAAGGCCAACGUCAACGCUUUUGAAAGCAGCUCCAGUACGCCGAGCAUUCAGGAGAGCAGUUCGCGAACAUCAGUAAACCCUUUGCACCCACCCUGGCAGGCUUCCCCUGCCGUGACCGUUGGGCCUCAGGGAUCAGCGCCGCCUCGUGGCGAGCUCGUCGUGGCGCCGCUGCGAGAGACGGGCAUGCUGUCGCCGCCGUCAUUCCUUGAACAUCUUUACACGAAGGACGCGGCUCCAGCCAUUUCCGCGUGCCCGCCAAAGAAGCCAAGCAACAUGCAGUCGUAUCCAACGCAAUGCCUCAACACUGACAGAGACUUCAGCGGGUCCGGCGAGCAAGAGAAGUGCACGCCGAAGGAUCACGCGCUGUCGCUCGCGGGUAGGUUGCCCACCUCCAUGCACACUCCCACAGGCGUCCGGCGCGCAUCGGCGCCCUCCACGAUCGUUUCCGUCCGCGUUGCCAACCCUUCCAAGCCGUUGCGUGCAGCUUUGAUGAUGCCUCUCGUCUCGUUGUACAUGACAAUCAUCAUCGCCAUCCUCGCGCUCACUGGCUCCAUCAUGUGCGAGUACGAUACUCAUUGCCUUUUACUGGCAUCUCCUGUACUCGGCGUGCCAUGGCUGUGGGCAAACCUGUUGCUGAUAAAGAAAGCUUUCUAUAAUACCCCGCAUAUGCGGCACAGCUUUCACUGUCGCCUGGUGAGCGUCCUCACUCACUGGUUUUUUAUGUUGAUCGUCUACGUUGCCUCAGCUGGCGUGUUCGGCGUGGCGUGCGCCUUCGAAGACAUGUAUUGGACCCCGUACAGCAUCGACGGAGAGGCAACGCCACGUGGAAUUCGUGUGGUGAGCUACUUCGCCCCGAUUUUGAUUAUGCUCAGCAUUGGCGUCUUUCUCAACAACCUCAAGGCGAUGCUCGGCAUCACGUGGGAAGUCUGCGAGAGCGAGAUGGUGGUCGACGAGGUGCCUAUGGCGACGGAUUACCAUGAAUGUCCACGAGAUCAUGUGGCGAUGCGAGUCCUCACGCCCGAGGUCAUGUCACAUGACGGCGCCGGUCGGCCGUCGCCCUCUGCAGGUAUAGGAAGCGUUUCUGGCGGCUCUUCCGCUCGCACCGUGGGUAACGUAUCGGCGGCAGAGGUGCACGCCCGCCUGCAGUCCCACAUGAUGCCCCCCAACUUUCCCCAGACGCUGCCCGAAGAGACGUGCUCGACUCUGUCGUCGAUUGUGCGGUCGCUGGCGGGGGAAGCCUUUUCAUUCCACAAAUCAACGCAGCGUCGUCUGCGAAGCUGUCCGUGAGCAAGAGUCUCCUGCGCGGCUCCCCCUCAAGCACCAAUGGAAGCUCUGACCACUACAGCAGCUCUCAACCAGCGGCCUUCAUGACCUCGGUCCCGCAGCUGAAGACGGUGACAAUGCUCUACGUGGUCUACCGUGACAUCUACGACGAUGACGAAGAUGCCGUGUCGAGUGUCUUCAAGGCCUCCAACCAGAGGGGUGGCAUGGCUGCCACCCGCAACAAGCAGCAGACGGUGUCGGUCAACUUCGAGGCCGUGAUGGAGGCGCUCGAGGACGCCAAGGGGCAAGAUAGUGCUGAUGCGAACUCCUACGUGCUCACAGCAUACGAGGAUGCGAUUUGCUUGGUGUGGGGACUCAUCCCCUUUAGCAGCGAGCCGGUGCUCUUGGCGAUCGAGAAAGCACGUAAAAUCAUGCAAGCCUUCGAGAGUCGCCCGAAGCCGCCGACAAGUUUCAGCAACGCACGGCAGGAGUUGGUCGCGGCUGUGGUGUCAGCCCCACAUUCGCUUGUGGGUCUCGUAGGCUCUGGCUCGUGUCGCGGAAUCCACUUCUUCAACCCGCGUCAGCACGAGCUGGGGGCUCAGAUGCUGCGCCGCGGCCUCGCCAUGCACCGCCGUCUCCCUUCCUUGCAGGCCUCCCUCGACGAACCAGAAAACCCAUUUCACUGCAUCUUGCUGGAUGGGCGGUCGUGGAACAGCACGGCAAGCCAAAUCCUGGCACGUCCUUGUGGUAUCAGCGGGAGCGACCGACCGAAAGCAGUCGCGAAGCAGCCGAAGCAGCGAGACCUACCGGUCAACGUCUCUUCGAAGUCGACAAAAAUGAAGUUCAUCAUUAUUUACAACUUCAUGGAGGUGUUGCAAACCAUGGAGGAGGAGUGGCAUCUCGUGGUGCAGCGGCAGGAGCACCUCGGCUCGAAGUUCAGUUUUCUCUCCGAGGCAGUGCAGCUGCUCCACCAGGGUGACCAGAGCGGCGCACAGCAGGUACUUAAGGGCGCAGUGCAGAGCAUGACCGCCAGCAGUGACGCCGACAACAUCACCCUCGCCCAGAUGCUGCUGGAAGAUUUGGAUUCCGCAGAGGGAUAAGGCUCACACAAG
Molecule: unclassified non-coding RNA, 3586 nt
Filed under: Leishmania donovani
Lineage: Eukaryota; Euglenozoa; Kinetoplastea; Trypanosomatida; Trypanosomatidae
Description: gene:LdHU3.33.0260(CDS-product:hypothetical_prote in_conserved)
Source: RNAcentral